This is a long non-coding RNA of Zea mays, 1209 nucleotides long. RefSeq lists it as uncharacterized. The transcript is spliced from 2 exons. The record is from RefSeq and is a predicted model, not a curated record. Lineage: Eukaryota; Viridiplantae; Streptophyta; Magnoliopsida; Poales; Poaceae.
CUGGAGCCAUCCUCGUGUGGUGUAGAGUUGUUGACACCACCGCGUCGUGGAGCCCUACGCACUGUGGUGCUUCUUUCCUGCCCCUCCCAUGGCGGCUCCCCUGGAUCCCUCCUCUGCUCGGCCGCCUCCCUGGAGUCCAAGUCCGGACGCCGCUCUAGCCUUCUCCUUUCUCUCUUCUCUAGCCCUGUCUGGCCUCCAGCUUCAGCCAUGGUGGCCUGUCCAUCUCCCUGAUAUUUCCCCAAGCCACGCCGGUGGACCCCGCCUCGGCCAUCGUCGUCAAUGUCGCGCUUGCCGGUGGCCAAUCAACCGUCUCGUAGUCGUCGGGCUGCCAGCGCUCGCCCAGCGCCCCUGCCUCAAUGUCUGCCAGUUUUUAGCCUCCAGAGCAUUUCCUCCCUCGCCAAAGCUCGUCAGUCGCCCCUGCCUUCAAUAGAGCUCGCGUUCAGGACGCUGGACCUUGUCCUCGCGUUUGCUUUGCUCAGCGUCAACCUUCCGGCCAUACGUCAUCGUCAUGGCGCUCAGCCCUCUCAAGCCGGCGGUCUGUUCUUGGACCACGCCCCUGCAGCAGCACGUCUUCUGAGUCAUCGUCGUGGUCUCUGCCUUGUCGUGCUACGUCACGCAUCGUCAACCCCUCUGGUCUCCAAUCGCAGCACGCCUGUCUACGUCGUCGUCUCUGACUCUGCCUACGUCUUGCAUCGUCAAGUCGCCCGCAACCGUGUUAUUGGCGUUCGUCUGUCGGUGGUCGCAGUCUCCUCGUCGCUCGCUGUGAGCGUCAUUCUAUGACCGCGUAUGCAUCUACGGUGUUGAUGGUGAUGUCCGCGCAGUGCCGCCAGGUGCUCGGUGAAAGGCCUGAGCCAUGGGUUAUCGUCCUGUUCGGGGAUAUCUAUUCGACUUGGUACGUUAAGUGAUCAUGUGAUGUGAAGGACCAGAGGUGAGUCGACCACAAGAUGGUGUUAAGUGCGGGCUAAUCGCAUGGUGAUGUUGAUGGACAAACCGAAAGAUGGAUAACUUGAUAAAGUGCUAGGAUAAAGGAUGAUCGUCAAGUGGACGUCGUCUAACAAACACUAACCUAGUGUUAUCCAGGCAAGCCCCGGUGCAUUUGCCACCUUCCUUGUAUUACAAAAUUUUAUCACUUAUAUGCUGCAUUAGGUAAUAGGAGUUGAAUGAUUAAACACUUGAUGCAUUACCAUCCUUGAAAGAUUGAUUAUCAUA